RNAcentral lists this ribosomal RNA (466 nucleotides) under uncultured bacterium. RNAcentral's name for it is "partial 16S ribosomal RNA". It matches the Rfam family "Bacterial small subunit ribosomal RNA", at positions 28 to 507 of the family's 1533-position model. The record is from RNAcentral.
GAUGAACGCUGGCGGCGUGCUUAACACAUGCAAGUCGAACGGUGAAGCCAAGCUUGCUUGGUGGAUCAGUGGCGAACGGGUGAGUAACACGUGAGCAACCUGCCCUGGACUCUGGGAUAAGCGCUGGAAACGGCGUCUAAUACUGGAUAUGAGCCUCUUCCGCAUGGUGGGGGUUGGAAAGAUUUUUUGGUCUGGGAUGGGCUCGCGGCCUAUCAGCUUGUUGGUGAGGUAAUGGCUCACCAAGGCGUCGACGGGUAGCCGGCCUGAGAGGGUGACCGGCCACACUGGGACUGAGACACGGCCCAGACUCCUACGGGAGGCAGCAGUGGGGAAUAUUGCACAAUGGGCGAAAGCCUGAUGCAGCAACGCCGCGUGAGGGAUGACGGCCUUCGGGUUGUAAACCUCUUUUAGCAGGGAAGAAGCGAAAGUGACGGUACCUGCAGAAAAAGCGCCGGCUAACUACGUG